Molecule: ribosomal RNA, 844 nt
Filed under: uncultured archaeon
Lineage: Archaea
Description: bacterial SSU rRNA
Rfam family: Archaeal small subunit ribosomal RNA
Source: RNAcentral
CCAGAGGCCAUUGCUAUCAGGGUUUGACUAAGCCAUGCGAGUCGAGAGGGUUCGGCCCUCGGCAUACUGCUCAGUAACACGUGGUUAACCUGCCCUAAGGUGGUGAAUACUCCCGGGAAACUGGGGCUAAUGCACCAUAGUGGAUACUUGCUGGAAUGCUGUAUCCUCGAAAGAUCCGUCGCCUUAGGAUGGGACUGCGUCCGAUUAGGUAGUUGGUGGGGUAACGGCCCACCAAGCCUGUCAUCGGUACGGGUUGUGGGAGCAAGAUCCCGGAGAUGGAUUCUGAGGCAUGAAUCCAGGCCCUACGGGGCGCAGCAGGCGCGCAAACUUUACAAUGCGAGCAAUCGUGAUAAGGAAACCCUGAGUGCCCGUUGAUGCAGGCUGUUCAUCUGUUUAAAUUGCAGGUGAAGAAAGGGCAGGGCAAGACCGGUGCCAGCCGCCGCGGUAAUACCGGCUGCUCGAGUGAUGGCCACUAUUACUGGGUUUAAAGCGUCCGUAGCUUGACUGAUAGGUCUCUUGGGAAAUCUUAACGCUUAACGUUAAGGCGUCUAAGAGAUACCGUCAGUCUUGGAACUGGGAGAGGUAAACCGUACUUCGGGGGUAGGAGUGAAAUCUUGUAAUCCUCGAGGGACGACCUAUGGCGAAGGCAGUUUACCAGAACAGCUUCGACAGUGAGGGACGAAAGCUGGGGGAGCAAACGGGAUUAGAUACCCCGGUAGUCCCAGCCGUAAACAAUGUGCGUUAGGUGUAUCGGUAACCACGCGUUACUGAUGCGCCGCAGAGAAAUCGUGAAACGCACCACCUGGGAAGUACGGUCGCAAGGCUGAAACUUAAAGGAAUUGGC